RNAcentral lists this transfer RNA (73 nucleotides) under Bacteroidota bacterium. RNAcentral describes it as "Bacteroidetes bacterium tRNA-Phe". It matches the Rfam family "tRNA". From Rfam's summary of the family: Transfer RNA (tRNA) molecules are approximately 80 nucleotides in length. Lineage: Bacteria; Pseudomonadati; Bacteroidota. The record is from RNAcentral. RNAcentral also lists the same sequence under 2 other names.
GGUACCCUAGCUCAGUUGGUAGAGCAAAGGACUGAAAAUCCUUGUGUCACUGGUUCGAUCCCAGUGGGUACCA